CUCACUCUUAUUGCAAAAACUCCUUGCUAUCUGUCAGACUGUGCGUGAAACAUGGCCGCCAAUCACAUGGUUGAAAGAUCUCCAUCCUGAACGAUGUCCAGCUAUUGCUUUACCCCGUUGCCAGGGUAGAUUUCGGUUGACUUCUUUUAUUUCUUUAUUAAGGCUUCGCCGCCAUGAGCCUCUGGGUCUGCCUCUGCUGCGAUAUCCCACUGAGUUCCAGUCUAAUGCUUGUUUACAGAUUUCGUUUCCGCCCCUACGUGCUUGGAAAAUAUCGAUGCCCUGGACAUGGUCCUAAGCAGCUCCGACGAUAGCUUUUCUGAUUUAUUUCUUUUUGGGUCAUCACAGAAUUCUUACGAAUGACACCCGUCCAAGCACCCGUCGAUCAGCUUACAGAUUUGGUGACGCUUAUUUUCGGUUCAGGAGCUUCUUCGGUUUUUUAACUUGUAAUAAAUAUCAAAAAAUGAGUAGCUUUUUACUGGGAUUAUUAUAGGCGUAAGGUAUUCUGUUUAAAAUUGUGUAGAAACUUUUUUCCAGGAAAGUAUUUCCAGUAUUUUUAAAUACUUGUUCUAAGAAUUCCUCCAUAAGAUUCCUAUAAACUUUAAUGGGACUUUUAAAAACUGUAACUUCAAUCAAAAGUAUGCAUAAUGUCUGUAAACUGGAUGAUAUCCCAAAGUGGAGGGUCGUGACCCUCCGGAUUAUGUAAUUCUUAUGGAUGAAGGUCGUGAACCACCAAUUUUGAGAACCUAUGUUCUAGACCAAAUGUCUGUAUGAAUGCAGACAUGUCUGUAGGUCUGGCAUUCUUGCAUAAAUAAACCAAUUCAACACUGUGAGAAACAACAAAUCAUUUUUGUUAGAGCAAUGACCCAAGCAAGUAUCGCAAAAAAUGUGUGUUCAGGUGAUGUAAAAAUGUGAUUUUAAAGGACAAAAUAAAAUACUUUCAGUGCGGAACCCAGUCUACACUUGUUAAGCCAGUAUUCUAAACUUGACUAUCAUAUUUGAAUAAUACUGUAGUAAUGUACUAAAAACAAUCAAAAAGGAGUAUAAAUUAGAGAAUCACGAUUUUUACAGUUCUACAAGGAAAUUAUUUCGGCUGAUUUAAAAAUAAACCUAAUUUCACCACCCCAUAAAUUAUAUUUAAAAAAAUUGGUGAAAUUUGCUAAAUAAAUAAUAUCUAAUCACUCCUCAUAUUCCAAUGAAUGACAAUCACAAAAGGUAAUUCACUUCAGGUCUCGUCCGAUUAAUCGAUGAUUCGAUUUGUGAGUCACGUAUAUGUUGAACACGUGGUCAGGCAGUUUUUUUUCCAUAACGAAAAAAUUGAACGGCGUUCAAACUUACACCAAAAAGAAAACAUAGAGAUUUCCAAACAAGUCGUCAUUACCAAAAUGUUCUCUUCUUCUACGUAUAGGGUAAACAACAUUUUUGCCUGAAUGUUGCAGCCAACACUAUCACAACACGACAAUUUCACUACUCUGUUUCAACAAUGCACUGUUGUGUUAAAAAAAAAACAAACGAACAUCUUUGCAAAUCACUCAUCAACAACUCAACAAAUAAUUACGCGAUAUUGAGCACUGAAAAACUUAUGAAAUCAUGAAAGUACUAGAAUUACACUAACUGAAAAAAAAUCACUGCACUUUAAAUGUGAUAUGAAAGGCCUCCUAAUUUUCAUUAUUUUGCCUAAUUUAGUUACUCAAUACCUGCGUCUUGAAUUAAUAUCAAUUAUAUCGUCAUUUGAGCUCUUUGAUUUUUUUACAUUUAACUAAUCAACAACAAUAAAAUACUCACACUUAACUCAUUUCACAGUAUUCGGUAAAUUUUACCGAAAUCUCAACAGCAGAUCUGUUCGGUAAUUAUUUUACAGAUUUUUUGUAACUUUUUCCAUUGUUCAACUGUCAAAAUCACCGAAAAUCAGUAAAAUUAUUUACCGAACAGUUCUGCUGUUGAGAUCUCGGUAAAAUUUUACCGAAUUCGGCGAUUUAUUUUAAGUGUGAUACUUUACUUUUUUCUAAUUUCAUUAUGAACUGAUCGGAGUCAAGAAGGGAAAGUGUCUGUCGUUCGCGCCUAUUGUUUUUAUCUCCAACAGUUUGUAAACCAGUUGACCAGCCCUUCUUCAAACAAACCAUCAUGUAUUGCAAGUAUAGCAAAUUCCAUAAUUUAAUUUGUUGGCUCAUUCUGUUGGAAGAAGAUUCCAAUUUUCCAGUGAGAUUCGUGUAAGUAUCUCUGUUGACAAGUCAACUACUCUCAUUUUCUGCCCUUCAUACAGCAGUAUGUUGAAUUCAAAAUGUCAAAAUGAUAUUGGAAUUUGAUCUUACUGUAAAGUGGAACCACAUUCAGAAUAAGACUUCUGCUAGCAUGGCGGCUAACUACAUACGUACUUUUUCAUACUUCAUUACAACAAAAACAACAGUUUUAAUAGUUUUACCAGGUUUAACAUAAAGAAAUUAUAGGGUAAAACGUCCUAUCGUUGUGGUAUGUCCUAAUGUUGCGGUAGUGUUAAAAUAGUCCAUUCUGGAUAUAAUAGCAUUAAAAACAAUUGUGGAUACGCUAAAACUCAUCGAAUUAACGACUAGAACAGCUUUUGUUUGACAAAAUUCCGUUCAAAAUUAUGAAAAGUCAACAUUUUUCAUUAAAAAAUUGAAUCCUUCGAGCCUAUUAUUGCGGUAGUGCUAAGGUCCUAUUGUUGUGGUAUCGAUUUCCAUAAGAAUUACAUGCAAUACCGCAACAAUAGGACUGACCUUGAAAAAAUGUCGCAACGAUAGGCAACUGCGUCCUAUUAUUGCGGUAGUUUGUUUUUGUUGUGAUAAAACAAAACAACAUAAGUUUAGCCCAAUUGACGUAAUAUUUACGAAACUAUAGUUAACGAGCAACCUAUUUGACUACUGCGAUGUAGAAAAAGACCAACGGGUAAUUUUUAAAGAUUUUUUUUUUCAAUUUUGUUUUGACACGGUGCUUAACUCCUCCAUAAUAGGUCGUUUUACCCUAAACAAAGACAAAAAAACUUUUCCAAAAACAAACUAUUUGAACUUGAAGUUCACUGCUAGUCAAACAAGAGAUCUGUCAGUCCAAAAAAUCACGCGUGACAUUAUGAAUAUAUGAAUUAUUCUUGAAACUUUUUUCAAAUGGGCGUAAUUGUGUCUGGUCUUGAUUUGUGGAAUGCCGAUUGUGGUCUUUAUUCUAACUAUUUUGCUCAACUGAUGUAAACAACAGAAAAAAUAGAUUGCGAUCUAUUUGAUAGUAGCCAAAGUUGAACAUUAUAUGCUUAAUAGAGAGUGUAUGAGUCGUUUCUAAGUCGGGUCAAAUGCAGUUAUGCCUAUUUGAAUAAUGUUUCUAGUAUUGUUUGAAUAUGUUCUUACCUAUUAUCAGAUUCUAUUCAAAUACGAUAUUCACUCAAAAAAAAGUGUAUCAUCAAUUUAUCAUUUAUUAACAGCGGUGUAAAAAGAGCCCCGCACAUAGGAUACGUUUGCGUUGCGUUUGACAGUUUUCCCAAGGGAAAUGUGCCAAACGCAACGCAAACGUAUGCUAUGUGCGGGGCUCUUAACUUAUCAGAGCUGCCUGUCGAAGUGUUUGUUUUUGUUUCUUAUCUUUGUUUAUAGAUAGUAUCUUUGGUUGAACCGUCCGCACAAAGUACAGCAAUUAAAAAUUAAAAUAAUUUUGAUAUCACAUAUUUUAAAUAAAAAAAAGCAAAGAAACUGUUUGUCCUUAAUGUUGCACCGCACCAGAUACAAAUAAUAAACUUGAUGCACCAUAAUAGAAUAGUCCAUAAGUAUCGAACCUUAUGAAAUAAUUUUUCGGCACUCCCAAGAGAAAGAUAUAUUAUAUAAACUAUCGAAAGAAUUGUAAAAAAAUAUGUUUUCAUUAUUUUAUCAUUUGGUCGGGGUUCUGCCAAACGGCACCAAGUAGCUUUUUGACUGACUUGUAAUAUUUUGUUCGUAAAAUGUAAACGUAAAUCUUUUCAUAUAAAUUCUCAUAUACAUUAAUUGUAGGAUAUAUCUUCUGCUCUGGGGUUAAAAGAUAUCCGAUACGAUUUGUGAUCGUAUAAAUUUGUUAAACAAAAGAUUGCCGUAGAAAAAUUGGAUUUUUUUUGUUGGCGCUUGGUGCGAAUUGUCAGAACCCCGGCCAUUUAUAUUUUGAAAUUCUUAUCCUGGAGAAAUAACGCCAGACGUGGUUAAUACCCGCCUAAGAACCUAAUUCAAGGAAAGACCACGCACUGAUUCGUGUAGUAAGUACUUGUAAAUAUAGUUAAUUAGCGAUAAAUAAUAAAUCAGAAUAACAACGCCAAUCCAAACGGCGAGUAUGAAAUAAGUGCGCGAUAUUAGCAAUGCCAAACAAUUCAACUAGCUGUUACUAAAUGUGCAGGAUUAUCGUCUUCGACACAAAUCGUAUAAUCAUAAGUUCCUACACUCUAAAAAAAAUGUUACGUGUGAGAAUUGAUUGUGCAAGACGCAUUUGUGGCAACAGUGCAUGCACUGAAGCAAAAUGAAUGCAUUGAAAACAAUAUCGAUCAAUGUCAAACAAACUUCGUAACACAUUUACAAUUUUCAAAUUAAAAGGAGCACAAAUUUAAAAAAAAACAACAGAGCUCUUUCAUGACAAUCUGCAUGUACAAACAAUUUAGUUCUUCUAUCGAAUAACAUUUGUCCAGCCUAAUAAUUCGAAAAAAAAUUGCCGGGUCAACGCAUUUACGCUUGAAAAUAAACCCCUUGGGAUAAAACUCCACAGAAAAAAAAUGUAAGCAUUUUUGCCUUCUAUGUGUAAUCAUUCGUAUUCGACACAAUUAUGUAAUAAAGAAAUGCAAAACCAAACCGAAUACCAAAACUCCAUUGCUGGAUUUUUUUUCCCGUUCGUGGAAUAAAAAAGUGACAAAGUUGAGCUAUCAUAUUAAACAGCGUGUGCGAGGACACACAAAAACCAAUGAUUGGAUACCACUAAACAAUUAAAAUAAAAGUUUAUUAUUGCAUUAUUAUACCAAAACGCAAAGAUAAAGAUUGAUCUUAUACAUCAUUAUUCAUAUAUCACAUUAUUUAUAACAUUUAUUAUUAUAAUACAUAUAAGAUGAAUGUAAAAUAAAUGCCUCAAUCAGUAUGAACAAAAAUUCGAAAAUUCAA
Long non-coding RNA from Armigeres subalbatus, 5102 nucleotides. RefSeq lists it as uncharacterized. The transcript is spliced from 2 exons. Lineage: Eukaryota; Metazoa; Arthropoda; Insecta; Diptera; Culicidae. The record is from RefSeq and is a predicted model, not a curated record.